This is a regulatory RNA element of Planomicrobium sp., 101 nucleotides long. It matches the Rfam family "SAM riboswitch aptamer (S box leader)". Rfam says of the family: The SAM riboswitch is found upstream of a number of genes which code for proteins involved in methionine or cysteine biosynthesis in Gram-positive bacteria. The SAM riboswitch acts at the level of transcription termination control. NCBI's taxonomy places the organism in Bacteria, Bacillati, Bacillota, Bacilli, Caryophanales, Caryophanaceae. The record is from Rfam.
UUCUUAUCAAGAGAGACGGAGGGAUUUGGCCCUACGAUGUCUCAGCAACCGCCCACGGGCAAGGUGCUAAUUCCAAUAGGCGAGAGCCUAGAAGAUGAGAA